CAAACGACUCUCGGCAACGGAUAUCUCGGCUCUCGCAUUGAUGAAGAAAGUAGCGAAAUGCGAUACUUGGUGUGAAUUGCAGAAUCUCGUGAACCAUCGAGUCUUUGAACGCAAGUUGCGCCCGAAGCCAUUAGGCCAAGGGGACGUCUGCCUGGGCGUCACGC
RNAcentral lists this ribosomal RNA (164 nucleotides) under Diabelia serrata. RNAcentral describes it as "5.8S ribosomal RNA". It matches the Rfam family "5.8S ribosomal RNA". Rfam says of the family: 5.8S ribosomal RNA (5.8S rRNA) is a component of the large subunit of the eukaryotic ribosome. Lineage: Eukaryota; Viridiplantae; Streptophyta; Magnoliopsida; Dipsacales; Caprifoliaceae. The record is from RNAcentral.